AAUAAUGAAAACAAUCAAAUUAGAUACUAGGAACUGAAAUGGACGGAAAUUGAAUUAAAAGACUAACAACAAUGAAAACUAACUAAAUAAUAUAAUUUAAUAAUGGGGGGGUUUGGUUUUGACGAGAAGUAAAUUAAACUUAAAUAAAUUACAGAAUUGACAAAAGCAUGAAAUUAAGGUGAAAUGAUAGGUGACAGACUAGCUAGAGGGUUCUUCUCCACACAUGCUACAUAUGCAACCUAAAUUGAUUUUUCAGUUGUUCUUUCAAUAAAUUGUGAAUGACAAUGUUCCAAGUUAAUUAGGUCCGCUUAAAUUAACUCUUAGAUUUCCCUAGAUUCAUUGGAUUGAAUGGAAUACGCAUUACAACCAAAUUAUUCCUCAUCAAAGUCCCUAACUAUGGAAUACGCAUGAUAGAGACAUUCAACAAAGAUCAUUAAGUUCAACGGAAAUCAUAAACAUUGACUAGGCAUUCAUAACUAUGGAAUACGCAUGUUAAUCCAGCCUAGAAUUCACUUAACACGAUUGUGGAUAACAACCUUCACUACUUGUGAAUAUAAGUUCAUAACGAUUAGGUGAAAUUCACUUAUAUUCUAGCAUCAAAUUCAUGCAUGUAAAUUAAGUAUGCAUUCUUAAUCGACAUACAAAAAUAAGUUAUCAAUCAAGCAGUUAAGCAAAUUAAAUUACAACUCAGAAAUCACAACUGAAGGUAAUCAAUUCAUAUUACAAAUAUAUUCAUGGCUUUGAAUUAACCUCUAGCCAAAAUAAAUUUAGUUACACAUAAUUCUUAAAUUAAACCAAAAGUAAAACAUGGGUUUGAGAAGAUAAAACCAAGAAGAGAAGAUCUGCCGUGCUUAUGUGCUUCUGCCCUCUGUCUUCCUUAAUUCCGUUUUUCCUUCUCACUGCGCCCGUCAGUCUCUCUUCUCAGCACAGUUUUCUGUGCUUCUAUCUGCUCUCCCCGUGUCUCUUGCUUCUGCUCUGCGCCUGCAGUCUCCCUCUUCCCCAGUUCCUUAUUUUCUGCCUUCGUUUAUUCUUUGCCUUUUCUCACGCUGCCAAGGGCAGCUUUCCUUCUCCCACUUCUCUUGGCUGUCCCGUGAUUCCCCUUUCUCACCUGCUCUGCCUUCUUUUUAUUUUAUUAAUCUGUCCCUAGUUUUUUUUAUUCUUUCUUUCUUCUUUGUCUGCCGCACUCCUCUCCCUUUCUUUAUUCAAUUUCUGUUUUUCUGCUCCACUGCAUUAUUCUUUCCGCACUGCCUCAGUGCUCUCUUUCCACUUCUAUUUUUCAAGCUGGCCGCCUCCACCAACUCCCUCUAUCCUUUUCUUUAUGCCCUCCAUGAUUUUUCUAGUGGUCCACCCGUGUUCCACUUUUGAUGAAAAGGAUCUGCUAAAGAGAGGAAUGGUGGUAUUUGCUCCGUAGUUUCUUAUGAAUUGUGACUGUGGCCAAGAAGCAUGCAUAAACUCUCUGGCGGGAUACCUUCCAUAUAGAACAGGAAUUCCUGAAACAUGAUUGUAUAAAACUCAACUACAAAUAACAAACUACUAGAUAAUUCAAAACAAUAGGAUCUUUCCCUAGAAGCCCAACUUUCAUUCCAAAUACAUAAACGCGAAACAUUGAAGAAAUAGAGCCGCAUUAAGAAGGUAGAAUAUCUAAGCAUAAUAUAAGCCCUUGAACACCUUUAGUUUUGUAAGGACAAGUUCGACCUAUAAUCCGUGACAUAAUUCUACCAAUAACCCAUGACAGAAUGAGAACGACUAAAGCAAUUUUCGACGAAUUUAUUAUUUAAAACUCAUUUGUGCUAUUUUUAUUUUCUUUACAUAACAAAUCCUAAAAACACAAAAAUAACGUAAAUAGCUCAAAAAUAUAAGGAACUAACCAAGAAAAGACGAGUGAAUUUGAAGUAAAAAUAUAUAUAAAUAUGAUCCGAUCAAGCAUCAGAUUUCAUCGUGGUUUAUCUAUAUGUAUAUGACAUGCACACAAUUAUUAUGAACGCUUUGAAGUGCAAAGGUGAACGCAGGACACCCAGGUAAGUUCAGGUGAGUUUAUGGUAUUGGUUGAAAUGAUGGGGUUAUGGUAUGACUACAUGUAUGUUUAGGCAACUCCGACCUUGUCGUGUAGGUUGCAAUGGUAGGUAACUCCGACACUGUCGUAUAGGUCGCCCAUGAAUCGUAUAUGUGACAAUAGAUAUAGUUAGAGCUCAUAAACCUGCACCCCGGUGUUAGUGCUCCCGUCCGUGGCCA
RNAcentral lists this long non-coding RNA (2232 nucleotides) under Malus domestica (apple). Its description in RNAcentral is "long non-coding RNA (MDOM_LNC003584)". The record is from RNAcentral. Lineage: Eukaryota; Viridiplantae; Streptophyta; Magnoliopsida; Rosales; Rosaceae.